Molecule: long non-coding RNA, 1262 nt
Filed under: Phasianus colchicus (ring-necked pheasant)
Lineage: Eukaryota; Metazoa; Chordata; Aves; Galliformes; Phasianidae
Description: lncRNA (ENSPCLG00000008065.1)
Source: RNAcentral
GUUGUAUCUCAGAAAAUUAGAUUGUUUGUUUGUUUGUUUUUGAAGUUAGUAAAAACUCUGUGCUGACAAGUCUUUUAAUGCUUUAGAGAAAGUGGGUUAUUGAAAUAUAGAAGAGGUGACUGCGAAGCACACACAGAGUGAUGAAAAUUGCCUGUUUGGUUCCAGUGGUAUCUCUACUGUCAAUGGAAAUGUUCUUAUAUCUAGGAGUAGCUUAAAUGGAGGGGAGUCAAUCUUGUGAACAAAUCUCAGUAACUAGUCGAGAAACAGUUUCAUCAGGUUACCUGGUAAAGACUUAAUUUUACUCAGUGAUUUAUUGAUUUUUUUUUUUUUUUUAGCAUUUACCUGACACACGCUUUCUGUGUGGUUGUUUAGGGGAUAUAUAUGAAAAUAAGCAUUAAUGAAAUUGCCUUUUCAUCAUUGUCUUUGAUCAGAAGUGUGUUUUUAUCACCUCAAGUUCUGAUGAUGACAUGUCAAAGAAACACUUCCCCAGACUCACUUCCAGGAAGUAAGAGAGAUUUCUCGGGUUUCCUUGGUCUAAUGCCUUGCAAAAGCAUAAAGCCAAAACAAAGGGAGACAGACUUCCUUGGCUGUAUUCUGGCCAUAAAUUGUACCAUAGUAUCUGAAAUGUCUGCAAGACUCUGACCACGUAACUCCAAACUGCAGUGAUCAGAGAUGACACAGGACUCCGUGUUUGCAAGUGAAAGUUUGCACAUCUGUUUUCUAUGAUGCAUUGGGCUGACAAGAGAUGGAGGAUCUGAUGGCAUCCUAUGUGGCUUACAUUCUAGCCACCUGCUAUUGCCAACUAUCAAGCCAUAUUGCCUCCCUUCCCCAUUCUUGGUUUUUUUUUCAUCCAAAUAUAUUAAGUUCACCUUAAGGUUAGUUAGAUUUUUCUACUACUGUGACGGAGUGUGCCAAAGUAUGAAAGCAUGGUUACUUUGAAGCCUUGAUUUAAUUGCAGUCUAAAUAUAUUCUUGAACAUCUUAUGUUGUGCAUGUGUUAUUCUUUCAUUUGAAUAGCUUUACCUUUCCCUUAACUUUUAUUUGUUCAUACCAAGAUCUUGUAAGACAGCCUUCUUCAUUCCCCUAAAUGUCCUAGCAGCCCCUCUUGGCAGCUUGUCCACUUUGAGUUGAUCCAUCUUGAACUUGUUGGACCAGGUCUUAUCACUACGUGUUAUGAAGAUACUAACAUAUUCCUUUCUCUGCAUCUUAGGAUCCUGUAUCUUCUUCCAUUCAUGUCUGAUAUACAUUGACUGAUAUACCUAC